RNAcentral lists this ribosomal RNA (468 nucleotides) under uncultured bacterium. Its description in RNAcentral is "partial 16S ribosomal RNA". It matches the Rfam family "Bacterial small subunit ribosomal RNA", at positions 28 to 507 of the family's 1533-position model. The record is from RNAcentral.
GACGAACGCUGGCGGCGUGCUUAACACAUGCAAGUCGAACGGAAAGGCCCUGCUUGCGUGGGGUGCUCGAGUGGCGAACGGGUGAGUAACACGUGAGUAACCUGCCCUUGACUUUGGGAUAACUUCAGGAAACUGGGGCUAAUACCGUAUAGGAGCUCCUGCUGCAUGGUGGGGGUUGGAAAGUUUCGGCGGGUGGGGAUGGACUCGCGGCUUAUCAGCUUGUUGGUGGGGUAGUGGCUUACCAAGGCUUUGACGGGUAGCCGGCCUGUGAGGGUGACCGGCCACAAUGGGACUGAGAUACGGCCCAGACUCCUAUGGGGGGCAGCAGUGGGGAAUAUUGCACAAUGGGCGGAAGCCUGAUGCAGCAACGCCGCGUGCGGGAUGACGGCCUUCGGGUUGUAAAACGCUUUCGCCUGUGACGAAGCGUGAGUGACGGUAAUGAGUAAAGAAGCACCGGCUAACUACGUG